This 1401-nucleotide ribosomal RNA is filed under the name uncultured bacterium. RNAcentral's name for it is "bacterial SSU rRNA". It matches the Rfam family "Bacterial small subunit ribosomal RNA". The record is from RNAcentral.
AGAGUUUGAUCCUGGCUCAGAUUGAACGCUGGCGGCAGGCCUAACACAUGCAAGUCGAACGGUAACAGAAAGCAGCUUGCUGCUUUGCUGACGAGUGGCGGACGGGUGAGUAAUGUCUGGGAAACUGCCUGAUGGAGGGGGAUAACUACUGGAAACGGUAGCUAAUACCGCAUAACGUCGCAAGACCAAAGAGGGGGACCUUCGGGCCUCUUGCCAUCGGAUGUGCCCAGAUGGGAUUAGCUUGUUGGUGGGGUAACGGCUCACCAAGGCGACGAUCCCUAGCUGGUCUGAGAGGAUGACCAGCCACACUGGAACUGAGACACGGUCCAGACUCCUACGGGAGGCAGCAGUGGGGAAUAUUGCACAAUGGGCGCAAGCCUGAUGCAGCCAUGCCGCGUGUAUGAAGAAGGCCUUCGGGUUGUAAAGUACUUUCAGCGGGGAGGAAGGGAGUAAAGUUAAUACCUUUGCUCAUUGACGUUACCCGCAGAAGAAGCACCGGCUAACUCCGUGCCAGCAGCCGCGGUAAUACGGAGGGUGCAAGCGUUAAUCGGAAUUACUGGGCGUAAAGCGCACGCAGGCGGUUUGUUAAGUCAGAUGUGAAAUCCCCGGGCUCAACCUGGGAACUGCAUCUGAUACUGGCAAGCUUGAGUCUCGUAGAGGGGGGUAGAAUUCCAGGUGUAGCGGUGAAAUGCGUAGAGAUCUGGAGGAAUACCGGUGGCGAAGGCGGCCCCCUGGACGAAGACUGACGCUCAGGUGCGAAAGCGUGGGGAGCAAACAGGAUUAGAUACCCUGGUAGUCCACGCCGUAAACGAUGUCGACUUGGAGGUUGUGCCCUUGAGGCGUGGCUUCCGGAGCUAACGCGUUAAGUCGACCGCCUGGGGAGUACGGCCGCAAGGUUAAAACUCAAAUGAAUUGACGGGGGCCCGCACAAGCGGUGGAGCAUGUGGUUUAAUUCGAUGCAACGCGAAGAACCUUACCUGGUCUUGACAUCCACAGAACUUUCCAGAGAUGGAUUGGUGCCUUCGGGAACUGUGAGACAGGUGCUGCAUGGCUGUCGUCAGCUCGUGUUGUGAAAUGUUGGGUUAAGUCCCGCAACGAGCGCAACCCUUAUCCUUUGUUGCCAGCGGUCCGGCCGGGAACUCAAAGGAGACUGCCAGUGAUAAACUGGAGGAAGGUGAGGAUGACGUCAAGUCAUCAUGGCCCUUACGACCAGGGCUACACACGUGCUACAAUGGCGCAUACAAAGAGAAGCGACCUCGCGAGAGCAAGCGGACCUCAUAAAGUGCGUCGUAGUCCGGAUUGGAGUCUGCAACUCGACUCCAUGAAGUCGGAAUCGCUAGUAAUCGUGGAUCAGAAUGCCACGGUGAAUACGUUCCCGGGCCUUGCACUCAACGCCCGUCA